UUGAGUUUGGCGAAGCCUGAUGCAGCCAUGCCGCGUGUAUGAAGAAGGCCUUCGGGUUGUAAAGUACUUUCAGCGGGGAGGAAGGGAGUAAAGUUAAUACCUUUGCUCAUUGACGUUACCCGCAGAAGAAGCACCGGCUAACUCCGUGCCAGCAGCCGCGGUAAU
RNAcentral lists this ribosomal RNA (165 nucleotides) under uncultured Enterobacteriaceae bacterium. RNAcentral's name for it is "partial 16S ribosomal RNA". It matches the Rfam family "Bacterial small subunit ribosomal RNA", at positions 359 to 524 of the family's 1533-position model. The record is from RNAcentral. Lineage: Bacteria; Pseudomonadati; Pseudomonadota; Gammaproteobacteria; Enterobacterales; Enterobacteriaceae.